This 199-nucleotide ribosomal RNA is filed under the name uncultured Bacillota bacterium. RNAcentral's name for it is "uncultured Firmicutes bacterium partial 16S ribosomal RNA". It matches the Rfam family "Bacterial small subunit ribosomal RNA", at positions 28 to 206 of the family's 1533-position model. The record is from RNAcentral. Lineage: Bacteria; Bacillati; Bacillota.
GAUGAACGCUGGCGGCGUGCUUAACACAUGCAAGUCGAACGAAGCAUUUACCAGGAAGUUUUCGGAUGGAAUGGUGAAUGACUGAGUGGCGGACGGGUGAGUAACGCGUGGGUAACCUGCCUCAUACAGGGGGAUAACAGUUGGAAACGACUGCUAAUACCGCAUAAGCGCACAGAGCCGCAUGGCACCGUGUGAAAAG